This 254-nucleotide ribosomal RNA is filed under the name uncultured bacterium. RNAcentral describes it as "partial 16S ribosomal RNA". It matches the Rfam family "Bacterial small subunit ribosomal RNA", at positions 524 to 776 of the family's 1533-position model. The record is from RNAcentral.
UACGUGGGGUGCAAGCGUUAUCCGGAAUUAUUGGGCGUAAAGAGAUGCGUAGGUGGUCAGUAAAGUUUUUGGUGAAAGCCCCGGGCUCAACCUGGGAAUUGCAUUCGAGACUGCAUGGCUAGGAUGCGGAAGAGGGAAGCGGAAUUUCCGGUGUAGCGGUGAAAUGCGUAGAUAUCGGAAGGAACACCAGUGGCGAAAGCGGCUUCCUGGUCCAGCAUCGACGUUCAGGCACGAAAGCGUGGGGAGCAAACAGG